This 255-nucleotide ribosomal RNA is filed under the name uncultured bacterium. Its description in RNAcentral is "partial 16S ribosomal RNA". It matches the Rfam family "Bacterial small subunit ribosomal RNA", at positions 78 to 334 of the family's 1533-position model. The record is from RNAcentral.
CAAUAGGUUGAUGGCGACCGGCGCACGGGUGAGUAACACGUAUCCAACCUACCGGUUAUUCCGGGAUAGCCUUUCGAAAGAAAGAUUAAUACCGGAUAGUAUAACGAGAAGGCAUCUUCUUGUUAUUAAAGAAUUUCGAUAACCGAUGGGGAUGCGUUCCAUUAGUUUGUUGGCGGGGUAACGGCCCACCAAGACAUCGAUGGGUAGGGGUUCUGAGAGGAAGGUCCCCCACAUUGGAACUGAGACACGGUCCAA